UGAAGUUCCUAUUUCGUUAGAAUAAGCUCUCUGUCAUUUUUGAAAAUGAAAACUGAGUUAACAAUUGAAUCUGUCGACAAGACAUGAUCUGAAUGAAGAAUUGGAUACACUAUUUUGUAUAAUCAGUUUGGGGUUUUACAUUAUUCGAUCAAUGGAAUCGUUGCUGGAAAUGAGGAAUCUUCGAAUUAAGAAUUGGAUGCAUCCUUUAAUUGAUAAUAAUCAGGUCUUCCAAUCUGGAAACUGUCUCAGUAACAUAUUCUGGUAUGCCUCAUCUCUAGCAACGAUUUGUUGUCGAUGCCAUUCAUGCCAUGUAGCGGUGUGCUCAUCCUUCAGUCCUUCCGUUGUCAUAUCCAAUGAUAUGUUUUUCUUUUCAUCGGGAGUAGCCUCCUUAAAUCGCACUGCUGGUUGCCUGCCAUCAAGUGGCAAUAAAGACCCCAUCAAAUGACGAUUAAGCCCAUACAUUGUAAAUACCUACGGCGCUGAACCAUUGUUCCGUUCUUUUGACACUUUGGCUCCCUGCGAGGUAAAUGCAAACAUUGAAUUAUAUGCCCUGAUGUCGAGUCUGUAAUUUGAUGCUUCUAGCCCCCCAUCUAUAUAUUGCAAUAGAUUUUUUAGAAAUUCUGGUGCCUCCCUGAGCAAUGGUAAUUGACAGCUUCUUUCCCACAACAAAUGGCAAAUUAUGGUGGUUUAUUUUUCUGGCUCUUGUUUACCCUCUCAUCAUCCCACAUCAUUGCUUGACAGUGAGGGCAUGUUGCAGUUGGCCCUCCAAUAUUAUGCCUUGCCAACUCCAUCACUGGUUAACAUUAAAUUCCGUCAGGAUGGUAAGACUCAGAUGUUAAGACUGUAUUAAACAUGAAGGUGUUUCUUAGAUUCAAUAUAAUACACUUACGUGUAUAUGGGAACUCUUCCUCUGAUUCAUAAUCCCCAUUCUUUUCUUCAUUAUUGUCGCCUUAUUUUCCACAUAAUGAUGAAAACAAUACCAAUUCAAAUCAAUGAAUUACACAGGAACAACAACAUGAAUUCAUGAAAUAUGUAUGAUUAAUAUGUAAACUUCAUUCCUUUUUAACAACAAAGACACAUAAUGUUAGUUAGCUGAGAUGUGUUACCAUUCAUGUAAUUGGCUGCGAAUGUUUUUGCUUGUUUCCUAGUUCUCUUUGAGAUAUGUCCUCCUGGAAUAAUGCUGGUACGAAACUUCAAAUGUCAGUAAGAAAACAUAUAUGAACCUAUAAGAAUCUAACUGUCAUAAAAUUGUAUAUGAACCUAAAUCAUCAAUGUGUAUACCUUUUCUCUUUUUUUUUGCUUGUUUUUACCACGUAAUCUUCUUAUUAACUUUUUCCUGUGUGUCCUGCAUCUCUGGUCCAUUGUUUUACUUGGAGUUUGUUUUUCUGCACGAACUCUAGGUUUCAAAGCAUGUUUGAGCUGAUGUUUGAGAGAUUUAAUUUGCUUCCUUAUAAAUCUUCUAGCAGCUGUGUGGUUUUCUUGGAUACCAUUGUUUGUUGGCCUUUUAAUGGAAUCAUGAU
Molecule: RNA transcript, 1520 nt
Organism: Papaver somniferum (opium poppy)
Lineage: Eukaryota; Viridiplantae; Streptophyta; Magnoliopsida; Ranunculales; Papaveraceae
Exons: 4
Source: RefSeq, a predicted model, not a curated record